CUAAGUACUGGUGCCGCGGGAGUUGAGGUUUAAUCCCCCAGCGGUUCCGGUGCUUACUA
RNAcentral lists this microRNA precursor (59 nucleotides) under Melibe leonina. RNAcentral describes it as "microRNA mle-mir-252a precursor". Its record names the gene mle-mir-252a. The record is from miRBase by way of RNAcentral. Lineage: Eukaryota; Metazoa; Mollusca; Gastropoda; Nudibranchia; Dendronotidae.